CCACAACCCGCUUAAAUGUUUUAAAAAAAAAAUCACUAAAAAACUUUAAUUAUUUCUGGGCUUUUUUUUUGGGCUUUAGCCUUUAAGUCUUAUUCUCUAAUAUCAUAUGAAUAAAACCCUAGCAUAUCUCACGCCUCUCAUUCUCUCACUCAAACACUCAGUCUCUCUCUCACUCUCUCUCUCUCAGUCUAUCUCAUUCUCUCUAAACUGAAACCCUAAUCUCUCAAGCGGCGCCUCUCAUUGAUCUCCACUCACCACCGCGCCGAUCGUCGGUCUCCGGCUCAACGCAACGCUAGUCGAUCACUCACUCUGAUUCAACAUCCAAGUAUCAACAAUGGAAGGCUUCACCAGGAACUCAAGAUUUCAACAAAGUUUGAUUCAUAUUAAACUAGCUUAAUUUGAACAAUUUAUUAGCUUUGUAACUUAUUUGAAUUUUAGUUUUAUGUUGGAUUGGGUCACGUAUUAAACUUUUAUUUCUGAUUUGGUGAUGUAUUAAGCCUUAUGACUUGUGGCAGGAUAUUAAUUAAUGGCAAAUUUUGCCAAUUUACGA
This is a long non-coding RNA of Spinacia oleracea (spinach), 550 nucleotides long. RefSeq lists it as uncharacterized. Lineage: Eukaryota; Viridiplantae; Streptophyta; Magnoliopsida; Caryophyllales; Amaranthaceae. The transcript is spliced from 2 exons. The record is from RefSeq and is a predicted model, not a curated record.